CACCUUGAGACGGCCCUUUCAGGUUCUCACAACCACCCUCCUCAGCCUCCUUCUUCCCCUCUCAUUUCUCCUCCUAGCUAGGCUUACGAUAGCCCGGUAUUUGCUAGAUGUUAACUCAAAUAAUCCUACCUCUCAACCUUUCUCUUUUUUAUUCUCUGUUUUGCUAUAUACCAAUCCAACUCUUCUCCAUGGCCUUGUUGCCAUUGUUAGCGUUUCAUGCCUUGUCCACGGUUUGAGUAAUGGCCGGAUCACGCCUUCAAGAGAGCCUCCAGAACCUAUUGUACGUUCCCGUUUGUACACAG
This 302-nucleotide long non-coding RNA is filed under the name Panax ginseng (ginseng). RNAcentral's name for it is "long non-coding RNA (PGIN_LNC015302)". Lineage: Eukaryota; Viridiplantae; Streptophyta; Magnoliopsida; Apiales; Araliaceae. The record is from RNAcentral.